UUUUCUUUUUUGAAUCACCUU
RNAcentral lists this non-coding RNA (21 nucleotides) under Caenorhabditis elegans. The record is from RNAcentral. Lineage: Eukaryota; Metazoa; Nematoda; Chromadorea; Rhabditida; Rhabditidae.